UCCGUAGGGUGCGAGCGUUAAUCGGAAUUACUGGGCGUAAAGCGUGCGCAGGCGGCUUGCCAAGUCAGAUGUGAAAGCCCCGGGCUCAACCCGGGAACUGCGUUUGAAACUGGCAGGCUAGAGUUUGGCAGAGGGGGGUGGAAUUCCACGUGUAGCAGUGAAAUGCGUAGAGAUGUGGAGGAACACCGAUGGCGAAGGCAGCCCCCUGGGCCAAAACUGACGCUCAGGCACGAAAGCGUGGGGAGCAAACAGG
This 253-nucleotide ribosomal RNA is filed under the name uncultured bacterium. RNAcentral describes it as "partial 16S ribosomal RNA". It matches the Rfam family "Bacterial small subunit ribosomal RNA", at positions 524 to 776 of the family's 1533-position model. The record is from RNAcentral.